Molecule: long non-coding RNA, 1465 nt
Filed under: Homo sapiens (human)
Lineage: Eukaryota; Metazoa; Chordata; Mammalia; Primates; Hominidae
Description: HSALNT0385570
Source: RNAcentral
CAACCCUCCCGCGCAGGCCAUAAGAGGCAAAUGAACCUUUGUUGGUUGGCGGGAAAUCGAGACCCUGGCAAGGGGGCUUCUCCCUUGGAGAAGCCUGAGAACUGCCAGGUCCGCGGCCGUUAACCCGCCUCUAGGGACGGCCGCACUGCGCAUGUCUGAAAGGGAACUAGAAAGGGAGGAGCGAGAGAGGGUGGGGCUGAGGAGGAGGCUGUGUGAGAAAAGGGGCGGGGCGCGCCCAAAGUCUGGCGGAAGAGCGUUACCCUGGCAACCCUCCCGCGGAGGCCGAGAGAGGCCACCGGCCCUUUGUUGAUCUGCGAGAAAUCAAACUACGAACACGACAAGCAUUAGCCUGCAGCUCGAGGAGACAAGGAAUAAAUCCAACUUGAUCAUAACAUCCAACUGUGUUGCCCAGGCUAGUCUCAAACUCCUGGAUUCAAGAGCCCCUCUCCUCUCAGCCUACGAAAGUGCUGGGAUUAAAGUCCUGAACUGACAGCCACAAGUGGCACCUGAACAGGGACUUGAACAAAGAAGGUCUGCUGGAGCAGAAAAAGUGAAACUGACCAGAUGAAUGAGAAACCCUGGGAUGAGUCUGCCUGCAGAGGAUAUAAGGAGAUGGAUAAACCGUGUGAGUGCCCUCAAGUUGUGUGCGACCAUGGAAUGGGAGACUGGAGGGAUACAUGGAUCCCAACUACAGGCCCAGCUCCUCCAGUAUGAGCCAUGAGCCAGUUGAAUCUGAAUGUGAAGAUGGAAUGAAGACCGACGAGAGUCACACUGACGUCAACCCUCAUAACAUGGGUCUGUAAAAUCAACUGGAACACCAACCAGCAAUUGAGAGCUGAACAGCCUGCAAUUACCUUUAUUCAAUUAAAUCAAAAGCAGAAAGGGGGAGAUGUUGGAGGCUGAAAGAAUGAGGGUCAUGACCAACUCAGUAUACCACUGGAGGCUAUGUGAGCAAACAGCAAACUGUUCUCAUGAAUACAGGAUAUUGGCAAGCUGACAGCUGCAUCUGCCACCAGAAGGAAUGCUGAGGACAGUCAUGCAUCAGGCACAGUGUUCCUUGUAGUUAUCUAUAGGAACAUCUGGACCCUGUUGUAUAAAGAAAGCAAUUAUUUGAGCCUGUGAUAAAUCAAGCAGCUGACUAAAACUGUUACCUCUUCCUCCCUGUUGAUUCUACCUAAUACAUGUGAAGGGCUGUAUAAGCUCAGGGCCCUUGUUCCCUAGAAGCAAGGAGCCCCCUGACCCCUUCUUUACAACAAAUCUUUUUGUUUUUGUCUUCAUUUCUGCAUUCAUCCUCCUUCGUUCAGUCCCGAACCGACAGCCACAUGAUCUGGCAAUCCCAUUUCUGGAUAUCUAUAUAAAUGUUCAAAGCAGGACCUGAAAGAAACAUUUCACACCCCUGUUUAUAAGAGAUUUAUUCUAAAAAUCCAAAAGGUAGAAGCUACUUGAAUGUCCCUUGACAGAUAAA